UACAGAGGGGGCAAGCGUUGUUCGGAAUUACUGGGCGUAAAGGGCGCGUAGGCGGCCUGCUAAGUCGAACGUGAAAUCCCUGGGCUCAACCCAGGAACUGCGUCCGAUACUGGUUGGCUUGAAUCCGGGAGAGGGAUGUGGAAUUCCAGGUGUAGCGGUGAAAUGCGUAGAUAUCGUAAGGAAGACCAGUGGCGAAGGCGGGUCUCUGGACAGUUCCUGACGCUGAGGCACGAAGGUCAGGGGAGCAAACGGG
Molecule: ribosomal RNA, 253 nt
Filed under: uncultured bacterium
Lineage: Bacteria
Description: partial 16S ribosomal RNA
Rfam family: Bacterial small subunit ribosomal RNA
Source: RNAcentral